GAUGAACGCUGGCGGCGUGCCUAAUACAUGCAAGUCGAGCGAACAGAUGAGGAGCUUGCUCCUCUGACGUUAGCGGCGGACGGGUGAGUAACACGUGGAUAACCUACCUAUAAGACUGGGAUAACUACGGGAAACCGGAGCUAAUACCGGAUAAUAUUUUGAACCGCGUGGUUCAAUAGUGAAAGACGGUCUUGCUGUCACUUAUAGAUGGAUCCGCGCUGCAUUAGCUAGUUGGUAAGGUAACGGCUUACCAAGGCAACGAUGCGUAGCCGACCUGAGAGGGUGAUCGGCCACACUGGAACUGAGACACGGUCCAGACUCCUACGGGAGGCAGCAGUAGGGAAUCUUCCGCAAUGGGCGAAAGCCUGACGGAGCAACGCCGCGUGAGUGAUGAAGGUCUUCGGAUCGUAAAACUCUGUUAUUAGGGAAGAACAAAUGUGUAAGUAACUAUGCACAUCUUGACGGUACCUAAUCAGAAAGCCACGGCUAACUACGUG
This 497-nucleotide ribosomal RNA is filed under the name uncultured bacterium. RNAcentral's name for it is "partial 16S ribosomal RNA". It matches the Rfam family "Bacterial small subunit ribosomal RNA", at positions 28 to 507 of the family's 1533-position model. The record is from RNAcentral.